UUAACGAUUUAUAUUUAUACUCAGACGACAUAAUUAUAAAAGAAUUUAAUAAGGCUACUGGCGAACACUGACCAGGGGCUUGUAAACCCCCGGCGGCCCCAAAAGGCGGGCCCGCCAAAGCAACAUGGUGUAGUAAACAAAGGGUUGGAGGUCGGGCCUAUAAGACCCUAACUCGGUAAUGAUCCUUCCGCAGGUUCACCUACGGAAA
RNAcentral lists this unclassified non-coding RNA (208 nucleotides) under uncultured fungus. Its description in RNAcentral is "sequence contains ITS1". The record is from RNAcentral. Lineage: Eukaryota; Fungi.